GCUCCUAGUACGAGAGGACCGGAGUGAACGCACCGCUGGUGUCCGGGUUGUCACGCCAGUGGCACUGCCCGGUAGCUAAGUGCGGAAAAGAUAAGUGCUGAAAGCAUCUAAGCACGAAACUUGCCCCGAGAUGAGUUCUCCCUGAGCCUUUAAGGCUCCUGAAGGGACGUUGAAGACGACGACGUUGAUAGGCCGGGUGUGUAAGCGCAGCGAUGCGUUGAGCUUACCGGUACUAAUGACCCGUGAGGCUUAACCUUA
This 258-nucleotide ribosomal RNA is filed under the name Pantoea ananatis. RNAcentral's name for it is "partial 23S rRNA. Bacterial LSU". It matches the Rfam family "Bacterial large subunit ribosomal RNA", at positions 2674 to 2925 of the family's 2925-position model. Lineage: Bacteria; Pseudomonadati; Pseudomonadota; Gammaproteobacteria; Enterobacterales; Erwiniaceae. The record is from RNAcentral.